This 762-nucleotide long non-coding RNA is filed under the name Cricetulus griseus (Chinese hamster). RNAcentral's name for it is "lncRNA (ENSCGRG00015032416.1)". The record is from RNAcentral. Lineage: Eukaryota; Metazoa; Chordata; Mammalia; Rodentia; Cricetidae.
UUUUUUUUUUUUGGAACUCUUCGAAAUCCAUCCCACAGCUGGCACAGUUGUCCGGCUCCAUUUGGCACAGCUGUGAUUCAACUGCUCUGAGUCACAUGGGCUUGAGGCUGCCACGUCUGGCUGCACAGGCCCGUAUGUGGGUGUACGUCAUGAAUAGUAACCUCUGCUCCAACUCUGGGUCCAAAAGAGAGGUCAGGACAAUAGAAAGCAUCCCAACACCCUCUCUAAGGAGUAACAUGUACUGGUGGUAGGUGCCACAUCUGCCUGAGGCCUCCAGGCAGCAAGAACCUUGUCAUCUCCCACUGAUGGCUUUGGUGAAGACAACAUGACUGGCAAGUGUCAAAAUACAGAAGUGAUCCAGGGCAAAUGAGGAACUGGCUGGUUGGCGCCAAGCAUGGGCCGUUGGAGGAUGAAAACCAUGUACUUGUGUGGUAAGCCCGAAGAGAGAGGUCUUUGCUGAUGUUUUCCACAACCAAAUUCCUAUGCAAGAGAGUGUUACAUAGAGGCCUCUGACAGCAGUGCUUCACCAACUUAUGACAAUUUGUAGAGAAAUAUCUGUUGGCUGGAACCAGUGAACUCAAGAAUUGGUGGGGGGUGCGGUGGAUCAAGCAAUCUGUGUCCUUUCAAUUGCAGUUUCUUGGUUGAUGCAUCUGUAAGACUGUAUGAGACACACUAAUGCCUGUUGAAGAAAGGUUUUCAGUAAUGUUAUUUUGAGACAAAACAAUGAAUUAAAUUUGCUUAAGGAAAAAGAUGGAAGUGGAA